Molecule: non-coding RNA, 2727 nt
Organism: Misgurnus anguillicaudatus (oriental weatherfish)
Lineage: Eukaryota; Metazoa; Chordata; Actinopteri; Cypriniformes; Cobitidae
Source: RefSeq, a predicted model, not a curated record
CAGCAAGAAGUCGAACACACGUAUUUGCGUGCGCGCGCCUCGGUCCUCGUGAGGUCAAAGUGGAUUUUAACCGUUUAUCUCAGACGACAGUUUUCAUUUCUAUGGCAAAUUCUAAGGUCAUUUUCUUGUUGUGUUGUGAUGUUUUCCAUUGGCUGAAGAGCAGAAUACCAUGCAAUUUGAAGAAGUGUGAUAAAAUACACAGAGGUGAAGUCAUGUGUCUUUCCAGAUGCCCAAAUCUGUACCACUCAAAAGAUGAGCCUGAAGAGGAGAUUUGGGAAGAUGCUGUUUUAUAAGUCUUUGCUUUGCCAGAUCACCUGUGGUCGGGAUGUCUGCUAACAAGAGGCCUUGUUGGUCUGGGCGAGUUUGAAGUCUCUCACAGACAGUCCAGAAGGUCUGGAGUCCAUGUUAGCUUUUAUUGAUCAACUACAUACGGUCCCUUGGGGGAGCCAACCCAGGUGAAGUCCACUGAUGUCCUGAGUGCCUACAGCAUGAAAGGGAGGAAGGAAUCAACACAGAAAAACUACAAGGCAUUAAAGGCCCUUGACGUGGAAGACUUAAUUGCAUUAGCCCUGAAAUUUGCCCCACACAGAAAUUUAAAAUGCCUCCCUCAUAAUCAUACCAUGGACAAGGACAUGGUCAGCUAAAGUGGCUUAAAUUUCAUCUGAGACUGCUUGUCACCUUUCACCAUGUCCUCCUCCUCUUCCUCCUCCUUCAACAAGUCCUCUUCCUCCUACUUCUUUCCCUCCUCCUCCUCAAACUAUUACUUCAUUUUUCUGUGAAUCCAUUCUUCCAAAGCUCAGUGAACUGAUUCAGGUCCUUUAUCUAUCUAUUGAAGGAUUUGAUGCUGUUCAGUUUUGACUCUUAGUGUUUCCACCUUGGUAACUGUUUGCUAAUUGAGCCUUAGCUGUGCUGACUUGAGUGAUCAGUAUUGAAUGCUAGUGCUUUCCAUAUGACCACAUGGUGUAAGCCCCGAGAGAUGUAGGGAUUUGUGUGUAGAGUUUUGAAGUAAAACUUCACCAAAUCUAACUCAUGUGUUAAAGCAGGGGAGUAGUGUUUAUUGUUCAGCAAAUUGAUUUUGAAUGAUUGUGCUUCUUGAAAAAUGGCGUUAUGGUUUUGAAAUUUUAGUUCAAAAGCCUGUUUAUAGUGUUUCCGCAAUCGAGAAAAACUGUAAAACAACUGCAUGCUAUUUUUUACAUAAUCUGUUCGGUUGUCAGACAUGAAACGAGUAUACUAUAAAGUAGGGACAACACGACCCAUAAACACCUUGUGUUCAAUUUAACCAGUUGUUCCUUUAACUGCUGCUAAAAUCCUGAUUUAUAAACGCGACAUCGUCUGAAGCGCUUGCAACAGCCGUUUACCAGUAAAAUAUAAAUGUAAAUUGGAACCACCAUACUCAAUCCCACAGCGACAUCUUAAAAUAAAAACUCGUUUCAAUCUGUAUAAAAACUGUACUAUUGCAGUAUUAAACUUUUACCAACUUGUAGCAGUCGAAGUAACAAAAAAAAACUUUUGAAUAGAUUUAUUCUAAAAAUACUAAGGUAAAAGAGAAUCAUUUUGCUGAUUAAAUCAGUUGUUGUAGAGAAAAUAGCCUACUUUUAAAGAAACCAUGCGUAAAAGAUAGCAUACUUUUAAAAAUGAUGGUGUGAAACUUUUUUACUUUUAUACACUUUAUCAUAUUGGUUUAAUAACUCUGCUUGUUCGAAUCUGUAUAUAUAUAUAUAUAUAUAUAUAUAUAGCCUAUAUAGUUUAAAAUAAAAUGUCGUAAAGAAUCAUUAUCAAAAUUACUACUAAUAUCCUGGCGCUGAACUUUUUCUUGUUUGUAUGUCUCUUGUUUUUCAGUAUACCAAUAUAAUUAUUUAAAAUGAAAUAUUCUUCUGAUAACCAAACUGCAGCGCACUAAAUAUAUUUAAAACUUUUUACGAAGAAGUAGGCCUACACAAAACGCGUCUCAAAUCUGUAUAUGCAUUUUUAUCAGACCAUUUGACGGGGUCGUGCAACUUAAUGAUAAUACUUUUGUCAUUGAAUUGUUCAUCUAAAUGUUUAAUCUAAUGUUACACUAACUUACGUUGCCUUUAUUGUUUGUUACUUUUGCAGAUGGGAGAGAUUGCUGUGGAGUUCUGAAGUUCAUCGUUUAAAGCGUAACUAAACCCCUGGUCAGAGCCUGACUCCACUCACUGCAAUAUUUGAAAAAUGCAAGAAAAGUAGGCAGAUCCCAACGGAGAAAGAGGGGAUGAACUAAGCUUGUACCAAGUGUGUGGUGAGAUCGUUACAAGGGUGUGGUGAGCUUGAACCUGCUUACGUCACGAGUUCUUUUUUGGACCCAACAUCCAAUAGAAAAAUUCAACUGCAGUAGCCACCGUUCAACCUGAAGAGGGCAGCACUCAGUUGUUUUUACACCAUAUAUUGUAGUAUUGAAACACUUUAUAUCCAAAUGUCAAAAAACUUACUAAAAUGAAUGAACAGCACUAAUAAAGCAUCAUUCUUACAGAUCAUUAACUAAAAAAAGUUGGUUUAGGGUUUAGUUACUCUUUAAAUGUUUUCGUUUUUAAUAUAUUAAAAUGUUUUUUAUGAUACAAUGUUCUACAUGUUUAUUGCCAAUUUUAUGUGUAAUAUAAGCAAAUUAUCUACCCUAUUAUAUUAUUAUCUAAGUCUAUAAAUUCUAUAAAUGUUCCUGUGAUUAAUGAUUUUGAUUUUGAUUUGUCUACGAAUAAAGAAUGGAUCAACAUG